UCUCCCAACCCUCGUACCAGUGCCGCACCUCAGACCCUGGUACAGGCAUGGGGGGCA
This 57-nucleotide microRNA precursor is filed under the name Oryctolagus cuniculus (rabbit). Its description in RNAcentral is "microRNA ocu-mir-150 precursor". Its record names the gene ocu-mir-150. The record is from miRBase by way of RNAcentral. Lineage: Eukaryota; Metazoa; Chordata; Mammalia; Lagomorpha; Leporidae.